CAGCUGCUUGACAGUUGUGAGACCACGGAGACUCCUAAGAGGGUUUGAAAAAAUAAAAAUUAAUAUGUGUCUUGGGUAAGAGUUUUGGAAGACAGAGGUGAGAAGACCAGCAAAGAGGGUGUGAGGAAUCUAGAAAGAAGAGGAGCAGAGCCUGGAUGGGGCUGCUGGAGUUCAGUGUCUUCCUGCUGCUGCUGGGCUGUUCAAGGCCUGAACAGAACAAAAGGCUCACCCUCCCCCAGGAAGAAAGAAUUCCUCUGCCUGAUGUUCUUUAAACUGGGACAUCAACUCUGCCUGAUUCUAGAGCAGCCUGCCAGCCUUAUGUCUUGAACUAGGACAUUGAAUCUAUAGAUUUUGGACUUGUCAGCCUCCAUAGUCACAUAAGCCAGUUCCUUAUAAGACAGAGAUAGAGGUAGGUAAUAUGAUCAAUAGACUGAUAGAUUAAUCAAUAGACAGGUAGAGAUAGAUGAGAGAGAGAUCCUAUUGGCUCUCUUUUUCUGCAGAAUUCUGGCUAGUACAGGACCUAUCUCAGGAGGUUAUAUUAAAAUUACUUAAGGCGAUGUAACUGAAGCCCUUUGCUAUGUAUCUGGGAUAGAAUAGCUGCUCUGUAAAUGUUAAGAAUUUUUUUUAUAAGACUGUUCUUGAGGAGCAGAUUGCAUUAACCUUCUUAAUAACAUUUAUUAUUUUAUAUUGAGCCUGCCGAGCCUAGUAAAGCCAGUUUUAUUUUGAGAGGAAGGGGAAGACAAAGACUUGUCGACAGAGCCAUAAAGCUUGGGGACAGAUGUGACCACACCAUAGGUGGUGAACAACUGCAGCCUGGGCAUCAGCAGUGUCCUCAGGUGCCCCUAAACUCCCCCACCCCAGGACUCCCCUCAAUGGCAGAGGCGCCCACCAGGUCUCUGGGGAGUUGCAGCCACUGCCCUGGUCUAGAGUAAGCUCCUCUUUGAGAUAGAUAAGAGCACAGCUCUGAGACGAGGCGGGGAUGAGAGGUUCCCCACAAUGCCUGGCAUCCAUCCAGUGCACUUUCCAAAAGACUCCUAACUAUGCCCACCUCCCUGACUCCAAAACCAAAGCCUUUGUCCACACUGGAUCUGUCACACCUUCUACCCCCUCACCUCCUCCUCUUGUAGCCUCCCUGCCUCUGGAGGUCCGAGGCCUUUAGCUGAGUCUACCCUCCCCACUGAAACUGUACCCAUCAGACAGAAACCCCUGUGUCUUGCCCUCCUCCCAGCACCUAGAAUAAUCCCAAAUGUGUUCAGUUUAUUGGACUGAAUGCUCGGUGUCCUUGCAGCCCCUCGGCCCCCAGCUCCUCCUCAGCUUCUCUAAUCUGGGGCACUGAAGGACUGGCAGACGCACCUGGGGCACUUCUGGGAACUGAAGAUUCCCGGGCCUUGCUCCAGAACUACACAAGCAGAGCCUCCAGGGAUGGGGCCUUGGAAUCUGAAUACUUUUAAAGGGGUUCUUGGAGAUUUAGAAACAUUUUCUCAUGACCUUGGACUCUCCUCCCCAAACGAUUCAACUCAUGCAAGACUAGCUGUUAAACUCACCCUCCAGUGACAUCAGGCCAGCCCCCCUGCGGCACCCACGCUCCACCCUCCUGCCCCACGACUUUACCCCCAGUCCACCUGCUCCAGCAAACGACCUUCUUUCCUCCCUCCUUCCUGACCAUGAACUUGCACAUCCCCCUCCCCAGCAUCCCAGCCCCAGCCUCCCCCCAAGUGGACCCUCAUGUGCGCAUUGUUUCUGCCUUUGCCUCCCUGACUAGUGCACUUUGCCAGUAGUGACUCAGAGAGAGAUACAUAAAAUCUCUUAGUUUAUAUGCUGACUAUUCAAUAACAGUUCAUCCAUG
This is a long non-coding RNA of Manis pentadactyla (Chinese pangolin), 1846 nucleotides long. RefSeq lists it as uncharacterized. The record is from RefSeq and is a predicted model, not a curated record. Lineage: Eukaryota; Metazoa; Chordata; Mammalia; Pholidota; Manidae. The transcript has 3 exons.